UGCUCCCUUGAGGCAGCUGUUGUAUAUUAUUUGCAUAUCAGUAAAGCCUAAAAAUGUCACUUCACAACAUGAACGAUUACAGGAUCUUGAGAUGAGGACAAAGAAACGUUGAUGGUGUAAAGUAAGAAAAAACAUCUUGGUAAAAUUCUUGCAGUUGCAGGUACGUCAGGUCUUUGUAGACCUGUAAUGGGAAUGGAGAUAAAGCCAAAUCUCAAAAAAGGUGACUUC
Long non-coding RNA from Lepisosteus oculatus (spotted gar), 228 nucleotides. RefSeq lists it as uncharacterized. The record is from RefSeq and is a predicted model, not a curated record. NCBI's taxonomy places the organism in Eukaryota, Metazoa, Chordata, Actinopteri, Semionotiformes, Lepisosteidae.